AGGAAGCUCUUCGAACUUGGGUUCAAAACCUCGGAAACCAAGCCAUUCUGGAAGUGAAAAAGAUUGCCUUGUUCAGGGUACAAAUGUGACAGAGGUAUUACGCCCAGUAGAUUUGGAGAGGUUCCCAUCCACGAUGUCCUGUACUGCAUUUGCAUCAAGGGACGCAAAGCGGUCACUGGACGCUUGAACUUUGGGCUCUACGGAAACGCCGCCUGUAUUUCCUAGUUCAGGGGCCAUCUCAGAACGGUUUUCAGCUUCAACAGCUGUUGU
Long non-coding RNA from Haliotis rufescens (red abalone), 270 nucleotides. RefSeq lists it as uncharacterized. The transcript is spliced from 2 exons. NCBI's taxonomy places the organism in Eukaryota, Metazoa, Mollusca, Gastropoda, Lepetellida, Haliotidae. The record is from RefSeq and is a predicted model, not a curated record.